Molecule: ribosomal RNA, 253 nt
Filed under: uncultured bacterium
Lineage: Bacteria
Description: partial 16S ribosomal RNA
Rfam family: Bacterial small subunit ribosomal RNA
Source: RNAcentral
UACGGACUGUGCAAACGUUAUUCGGAAUCACUGGGCUUAAAGAGUCCGUAGGCGGCAUGUUAGGUGAGGUGUGAAAUCCCCCGGCUCAACCGAGGAAUUGCGCUUCAAACCGGCGUGCUAGAGGAAGAUAGAGGUGGGCGGAACUGAUGGUGGAGCGGUGAAAUGCGUUGAUAUCAUCAGGAACACCGGAGGCGAAAGCGGCCCACUGGGUCUUUUCUGACGCUGAGGGACGAAAGCUAGGGGAGCGAACGGG